RNAcentral lists this ribosomal RNA (505 nucleotides) under uncultured bacterium. RNAcentral describes it as "partial 16S ribosomal RNA". It matches the Rfam family "Bacterial small subunit ribosomal RNA", at positions 28 to 507 of the family's 1533-position model. The record is from RNAcentral.
GACGAACGCUGGCGGCGUGCCUAAUACAUGCAAGUAGAACGCACAGUUUAUACCGUAGCUUGCUACACCAUAGACUGUGAGCUGCGAACGGGUGAGUAACGCGUAGGUAACCUGCCUGGUAGCGGGGGAUAACUAUUGGAAACGAUAGCUAAUACCGCAUAAUAUUAAUUAUUGCAUGAUAAUUAAUCGAAAGGUGCAAUUGCACCACUACCAGAUGGACCUGCGUUGUAUUAGCUAGUAGGUGAGGUAACGGCUCACCUAGGCGACGAUACAUAGCCGACCUGAGAGGGUGAUCGGCCACACUGGGACUGAGACACGGCCCAGACGCCUACGGGAGGCAGCAGUAGGGAAUCUUCGGCAAUGGACGAAAGUCUGACCGAGCAACGCCGCGUGAGUGAAGAAGGUUUUCGGAUCGUAAAGCUCUGUUGUAAGAGAAGAACGGGUGUGAGAGUGGAAAGUUCACACUGUGACGGUAUCUUACCAGAAAGGGACGGCUAACUACGUG